UGCUUAAGUUGCGUGCACAGGUUGAGAGCCUAAGACAAAGAUGUGAGUUCCAAGAAUUAGAGCUUCAGAAAUCAGCAAAGAAGGUACAAGAUGCAAUGGCAUUAGCUGCAGAAGAAUCUUCCAAAUCUAAAGCUGCAAAAGAUGUUAUAAAGUUGCUUACUGCACAGCUGAAGGAUAUGGCUGAGAGGCUGCCACCUGGCGUAUAUGAUGCUGAGAACAUGAGGCCGGCUUACCUAACAAAUGGUUUGGAGCCAAAUGGUAUUCAUUAUGCUGAUGCAAAUGGAGAGAGGCAUUCGAGAUCUGAUUCCAUCAGUGGAACUUCCUUGGCCUUCCCCACUGGAAUUGACUCUACUUUGUCAAAUGGAGCCCAGGGUCUAGCUCCUUCAUUCCGGGAUCCAAUUCCAACCAAUGGAAAGGAUAACCCUCCAGAUGCAAGACUUCCCAAUGGUGGUGGAAAUGUUCAGUCAAUUAGUAUUGUGUCAGAGUCUGUUGAUGGGAAGGAAUCUAGAUCUCUUCAUGAUGGUGAGAAUGGUGUGACAUUAAGGGAUUCAGCAUUAGUUGCCAGCAGUAAUCAAGUUGAGGCCGAGUGGAUUGAACAGUAUGAGCCUGGUGUGUAUAUAACACUAGUGGCCCUGCGUGAUGGAACUAGAGAUCUUAAACGAGUGCGCUU
This 670-nucleotide unclassified non-coding RNA is filed under the name Hevea brasiliensis (rubber tree). The record is from RNAcentral. Lineage: Eukaryota; Viridiplantae; Streptophyta; Magnoliopsida; Malpighiales; Euphorbiaceae.